UCCGUAGGGUGAACCUGCGGGUUAGGUGUUGGGGGGGUCGGUUACUCCAACCCCUGUGAACAUACCAAUUGUUGCCUCGGCGGAUCAGCCCGCUCCCGGUAAAACGGGACGGCCCGCCAGAGGACCCCUAAACUCUGUUUCUAUAUGUAACUUCUGAGUAAAACCAUAAAUAAAUCAAAACUUUCAACAACGGAUCUCUUGGUUCUGGCAUCGAUGAAGAACGCAGCAAAAUGCGAUAAGUAAUGUGAAUUGCAGAAUUCAGUGAAUCAUCGAAUCUUUGAACGCACAUUGCGCCCGCCAGUAUUCUGGCGGGCAUGCCUGUUCGAGCGUCAUUUCAACCCUCAAGCCCAGCUUGGUGUUGGGACUCGCGAGUCAAAUCGCGUUCCCCAAAUUGAUUGGCGGUCACGUCGAGCUUCCAUAGCGUAGUAGUAAAACCCUCGUUACUGGUAAUCGUCGCGGCCACGCCGUUAAACCCCAACUUCUGAAUGUUGACCUCGGAUCAGGUAGGAAUACCCGCUGAACUUAAGCAUAUCAAUAAGCCGGAGGA
RNAcentral lists this ribosomal RNA (547 nucleotides) under Fusarium sp. Fs002TNPB1-TR. Its description in RNAcentral is "eukaryotic LSU rRNA". The stretch from base 179 to 332 matches the Rfam family "5.8S ribosomal RNA". Lineage: Eukaryota; Fungi; Ascomycota; Sordariomycetes; Hypocreales; Nectriaceae. The record is from RNAcentral.